ACGGUAAUGAAGUUCAGGAUCAAUCCCUAGUGGAAUGGAGAGAUAUGCUUUCAUUGGUGUAAGCUGCCACUGAGAUCCUGGAGCUGUGUUGUGAUUGUAGAAGCCAUAGUUGUACUGGAAAACAAAGAAAAAGGACAUGAGCACUGGACAAACCUUAAGGGGGAAGCCAAACUGAGGUUCAAGGAGUGCCUAGUGAGAGA
Long non-coding RNA from Corapipo altera (White-ruffed manakin), 200 nucleotides. RefSeq lists it as uncharacterized. The transcript is spliced from 3 exons. NCBI's taxonomy places the organism in Eukaryota, Metazoa, Chordata, Aves, Passeriformes, Pipridae. The record is from RefSeq and is a predicted model, not a curated record.